RNAcentral lists this ribosomal RNA (505 nucleotides) under uncultured Geobacter sp. RNAcentral describes it as "bacterial SSU rRNA". It matches the Rfam family "Bacterial small subunit ribosomal RNA", at positions 335 to 831 of the family's 1533-position model. The record is from RNAcentral. Lineage: Bacteria; Pseudomonadati; Thermodesulfobacteriota; Desulfuromonadia; Geobacterales; Geobacteraceae.
ACUCCUACGGGAGGCAGCAGUGGGGAAUUUUGCGCAAUGGGGGAAACCCUGACGCAGCAACGCCGCGUGAGUGAUGAAGGCCUUCGGGUCGUAAAGCUCUGUCAGAGGGAAAGAAGUGUAAGAGGGUUAAUACCCCUUUUACUUGACGGUACCCUCAAAGGAAGCACCGGCUAACUCCGUGCCAGCAGCCGCGGUAAUACGGGGGGUGCAAGCGUUGUUCGGAUUUAUUGGGCGUAAAGCGCGUGUAGGCGGUUUUAUAAGUCUGAUGUGAAAGCCCUGGGCUCAACCCGGGAAGUGCAUUGGAUACUGUAAGACUUGAAUACGGGAGAGGGCAGUGGAAUUCCUAGUGUAGGAGUGAAAUCCGUAGAUAUUAGGAGGAACACCGGUGGCGAAGGCGGCUGCCUGGACCGAUAUUGACGCUGAGACGCGAAAGCGUGGGGAGCAAACAGGAUUAGAUACCCUGGUAGUCCACGCCGUAAACGAUGAGAACUAGGUGUUGCGGGUA